UACGUAGGGUGCAGGCGUUAAUCGGAAUUACUGGGCGUAAAGCGUGCGCAGGCGGUCUGCUAAGAGAGAUGUGAAAUCCCCGGGCUUAACCUGGGAACUGCGUUUCUAACUGGACAGGGCUAGAGUGUGGCAGAGGGGGGUGGAAUUCCACGUGUAGCAGUGAAAUGACGUAGAGAUGUGGAGGAACACCGAUGGCGAAGGCAGCCCCCUGGGCUAACACUGACGCUCAUGCACGAAAGCGUGGGGAGCAAACGA
RNAcentral lists this ribosomal RNA (255 nucleotides) under uncultured bacterium. Its description in RNAcentral is "partial 16S ribosomal RNA". It matches the Rfam family "Bacterial small subunit ribosomal RNA", at positions 524 to 775 of the family's 1533-position model. The record is from RNAcentral.